CUAAGAAUCUUCCGCAAUGGGGGGAACCCUGACGGAGCGACGCCGCGUGAACGAGGAAGGCCGAAAGGUUGUAAAGUUCUUUUCUUGGGGAAGAAUAAGGGGAAGAGGGAAUGCUUCUCUGAUGACGGUAACCGAGGAAAAAGCCCCGGCCAAUUACGUGCCAGCAGCCGCGGUAACACGUAAGGGGCGAGCGUUGUUCGGAAUUAUUGGGCGUAAAGGGCGUGUAGGCGGUUUUGUAAGCCUGGUGUAAAAGGCGUACGCUUAACGUACGUAGGUCGCUGGGGACUGCGAGACUAGAGUGUAGGAAGGGGAGCUGGAAGUCCAGGUGUAGGGGUGAAAUCUGUAGAUAUCUGGAAGAACACCGAUGGCGAAGGCAAGCUUCUAGCCAUACACUGACGCUGAGGCGCGAAAGCGUGGGGAGCGAACA
Molecule: ribosomal RNA, 427 nt
Filed under: uncultured prokaryote
Description: bacterial SSU rRNA
Rfam family: Bacterial small subunit ribosomal RNA
Source: RNAcentral